AGGGCACCACCAGGAGUGGAGCCUGCGGCUUAAUUUGACUCAACACGGGGAAACUUACCCGGCCUGGACACUGGAAGGAUUGACAGAUUGAGAGCUCUUUCUUGAUUCAGUGGGUGGUGGUGCAUGGCCGUUCUUAGUUGGUGGAGCGAUUUGUCUGGUUAAUUCCGAUAACGAACGAGACUCUAGCCUAUUAAAUAGGCUCCCGGCUUUUAAACGCCGGGAGGACUUCUUAGAGGGACAGGUGGCGGUUCAGCCGCACGAAAGAGAGCAAUAACAGGUCUGUGAUGCCCUUUGUUGUCCGGGGCCGCACGCGCGCUACACUGAAGAGAUCAGCGUGCUUUAUGUUCCUGCUCCGACCGGAGUGGGGAACCCAGUGAACCUUCUUCGUGAUUGGGAUAGAAGAUUGUAAUUAUUCUUCUUGAACGAGGAACUCCCAGUAAAUGCGAGUCAUAAGCUCGCGUUGAUUACGUCCCUGCCCUUUGUACACACCGCCUGUCGCUACUACCGAUUGAACGAUUU
This 519-nucleotide ribosomal RNA is filed under the name uncultured eukaryote. Its description in RNAcentral is "SSU rRNA". It matches the Rfam family "Eukaryotic small subunit ribosomal RNA", at positions 1161 to 1699 of the family's 1831-position model. The record is from RNAcentral.